Astatotilapia calliptera (eastern happy) is the source of this 3274-nucleotide long non-coding RNA. The record is from Ensembl. Lineage: Eukaryota; Metazoa; Chordata; Actinopteri; Cichliformes; Cichlidae.
GGCAAAGGUCUCUGUAGUUGUACAAGGCCAGAAAGGAAAAGCAGUUAUUUACUUAGUCAUUUGCCAAUAUGAAAAGGGACCAGAGGUUACGAGAGGAGGAUGUAGCUAAGAAUUAAAAGUCAACAACUUUGAAUUAAAGUUAUCAUAGUGCAUGUCAGAGAAAUUCUUUGCCAAGCUUAAGUGUGGUUUUUGUCAACAUACCAGCAGAGGUGCUGAAAAUAGCAGCUACAAGGUUAUCCGGGGAAAACAAAGGAAUUGAACAAGUUCAAAGUAUGUGUGCCAGUUAGGAGUCCUGAAGACGAUGAAGCUUUUAUCCCUUAUCUCAGACCACUUGUUGCUCUGUGUCUUCCUGAGUCUACUCUGGGGCACAACUGACUCCAAUACAACAAUCACAUCAACAGUGACGACGACAGUGACAGCAGGACAGAAAAGUACAGCAAAAACAGAAACAAGCACAAGACUAAGAACCAAUCUGCUGACAGAUAAUGUUGACAGAGUGGAUGUGACCACACAAAAUGAGAACAGUAUAACUCUGACCUGGAACAAGGUUAACAACAUCCCAACAUACAUCCUGCAAUAUGGUAAUAUAAGAGAAGAUAUUUAUAAACCUGAAGAAGGACCCAUAGUACAUGUGGUCACUUCUCUGACUGCUGGGACAAACUACACAUUCACUCUCUUCACCAUGUCUGAGGGACUCAACAGCAGUGGAUACAGAUUCAGUGCUGUGACAGCUCCUCGUAAUGCUGACGACUUUAAGAAAAAUGGACAAGAUGAGACCAGCAUAACUCUGGAGUGGAAAACAGUCCCCAACAUCGACAAAUACAUUCUUGCAUUUAAUGAAAGAGAGAUCAAUAUUAGUAAUUCUGAAAACGAAUACAGAGUGUUAAAUUUGACCAGUGGAACCAGAUACACUUUCACUCUCUUCACUGUGUUUGGAAAUGUCAGAAGCAGUGGAGUAAACUGCAUCACAGUCACUGCUCCUCGUAAUGCUGACGACUUUAAGAAAAAUGGACAAGAUGAGACCAGCAUAAAUCUGGGGUGGAAAACAGUCCCCAACAUCGACAAUUAUAUUCUUGCGUUUAAUGGGAGCAAGAUCAAUAUUAGUAAUUCUGAAAAAGAAUACAGUGUUAAAUUUGACCAGUGGAACCAGAUACAAUUUCACUCUCUUCACUGUGUUUGAUAAUGUCAGAAGCAGUGGAGUAAACUGCAUCGCAGUUACUGGUGAGAUGUAAUUUCUCUAACAUAGAUAGAUAAACCAGGAUGGACCGGCUCAUUAGUACUUGAAACUUUAGCUGAUGGAGAGUUGUUGUUUUUUUUUGUGUGUUUUUUUUGUUUGUUUGUUUAUCAAAACCGCUUUCCUCUGUUAUCUUUAGCUCCACAAAGUGUUAAUAAUGUGACUGUGGUGCAUCAAAAUGAGAUGAGUAUACCACUGGAGUGGAACAAGGUUAAAAACAUCCCAGAAUACAUCCUACAGAAUAAUAACAUAAACAUUUGUCAAAUUUUCCAAUUUGAAUAUGUCAAAUACUAACCCGACCUAUAAUCCUAGACUGCUUACUGCUAACCUGGUGGAGGUUAACAGAUUAAAAACAUCUAAAACAGUCAUAGUCCUUUAAAAUGUUCCACAGUUGAUGCUCCUCUACAACAUGAACAAGAGCAGAGCUCUAUAAUGAUGUUUAAGGUUUCUCAGAAACAGAAGAGUGUAGCUCACCUAAUGUUUUUCAAAAGGACUGAUAAAAAUACUGAAACUGAAGCCUCGCUCCAUGUUUCUGUUUCUGACAGAAAAUGUUGUUACAGUUUCUUCUUUGUACGUUUUUCUAUUCUAGCUCCUCGUAAUGCUGACGACUUUAAGAAAAAUGGACAAAAUGAGACCAGCAUAACUCUGGGGUGGAAAACAGUCCCUAACAUCGACAAUUAUAUUCUUGCGUUUAAUGGGAGCAAGAUCAAUAUUAGUAAUUCUGAAAAAGAAUACAGUGUUAAAUUUGACCAGUGGAACCAGAUACAAUUUCACUCUCUUCACUGUGUUUGAUAAUGUCAGAAGCAGUGGAGUAAACUGCAUCGCAGUUACUGGUGAGAUGUAAUUUCUCUAACAUAGAUAGAUAAACCAGGAUGGACCGGCUCAUUAGUACUUGAAACUUUAGCUGAUGGAGAGUUGUUGUUUUUUUUUGUGUGUUUUUUUUGUUUGUUUGUUUAUCAAAACCGCUUUCCUCUGUUAUCUUUAGCUCCACAAAGUGUUAAUAAUGUGACUGUGGUGCAUCAAAAUGAGAUGAGUAUACCACUGGAGUGGGACAAGGUUAAAAACAUCCCAGAAUACAUCCUACAGAAUAAUAACAUAAACAUUUGUUCAAUUUUCCAAUUUGAAUAUGUCAAAUACUAACCCGACCUAUAAUCCUAGACUGCUUACUGCUAACCUGGUGGAGGUUAACAGAUUAAAAACAGCUAAAACAGUCAUAGUCCUUUAAAAUGUUCCACAGUUGAUGCUCCUCUACAACAUGAACAAGAGCAGAGCUCUAUAAUGAUGUUUAAGGUUUCUCAGAAACAGAAGAGUGUAGCUCACCUAAUAUUUUUCAAAAGGACUGAUAAAAAUACUGAAACUGAAGCCUCGCUCCAUGUUUCUGUUUCUGACAGAAAAUGUUGUUACAGUUUCUUGUUUGUACGUUUUUCUAUUCUAGCUCCUCGUAAUGCUGACGAAUUUAAGAAAAAUGGACAAGAUGAGACCAGCAUAACUCUGGGGUGGAAAAUAGUCCCCAACAUCGACAAUUAUAUUCUUGUGUUUAAUGAAAGAGAGAUCAGCAUUAGUAAUUCUGAAAAAGAAUACAGAGUGUCAGACUUGACCAGUGGAACCAGAUACAAUUUCACUCUCUUCACUGUGUUUGGAAAUGUCAGAAGCAGUGGAGUAAACUGCAUCGCAGUCACUGAUGGUGAGGGGCUAUGACACCAACAGAGUAAAUUCGCAGACUUCGCCCUCAGCACGGCUCCAAUCGAAGCUGAAGUGUAGCCGUUUCAGAACAUUUUGCUCUACAUAUUUGAGUUGUUUGCCAUGCUUGGAUAUGCUUGUGAAGAUGGAAUAUGGGGGAGAGCAGAAGUGCGUUGAAGUUCCACAAAGGGAUGAAUGAAGGACAUGCAUAUUGUAUUGAAGAAAUAAGUGAUGAGAAUGCUGUUAUUUGCAUUUACCAUGUCAGACCUUUUGAUAAACAAAAUUCUAAUAAAAGUGAGAACAUGUAUACUGUUACAUCUUUCAGAAAAUGUUUUGAAAUUGUGGUGCACAGUUCAGAAU